Lepisosteus oculatus (spotted gar) is the source of this 914-nucleotide non-coding RNA. The record is from RefSeq and is a predicted model, not a curated record. NCBI's taxonomy places the organism in Eukaryota, Metazoa, Chordata, Actinopteri, Semionotiformes, Lepisosteidae.
GAGGCAUCAGUGAAAUCUUCCUGCUGCAUACUGGUACGUUAUGUCAAGAGGGAGAUUACUAACUCUUUGCAUUUCUGAGGGAGUUUCCUUUGUAGAAAUGUUAACCCACUGCUAUCCGUGCUCGUUGCUUUCAGCGCUCAGAAGAAUGAGGUACUGUAUAAGAAACACUUGGAAGAAAGUGCAUGCCAUACACCAGAGGUUCACCAGUGUGGAGUGUGGAGCUUCUCCGGUUCUCGGGACCUUUUAGCACCCCAAAGUGCAGGAGAUCCCCCUGGAAGGAGUGUUGGGUUGUUGUGGGGUCACAGGGAGCAGAACACCCCUGAAAUGAGACCAGAAGGUCAGGAAUGGACAGAGCAUGAACUCGGCAGAAGAGGGGUGGCUCAGGCAGCGACCAUAUGUCUAAUCUGAUCCCGGUGCAUGUGAGCAGAACCUACCCCAGCCUGACUCUAUUGCAACCCUCUCCUCUCUGUGCUGGCGCGGAAAAGUCCAAUCCAGACAGCAGGAGGGCACAGGUGUAAACCGCGAACAGGAAGGACUGCUUUACACAAAGGGUGGUGGGAGCGCGGAACAACCUACCCAGCCACCGUGUGGAAGGCAUUAGCCUGGGCUCUUUCAAGCACUACAGAAAAAGGUAUCCCUUUAAAAAUAUGUAAGCUAUAUAUUAAAGUUAUUUUUAGUCAACACUAUAAAAGGAGUGAACUUAUUUUAGUGUUGGUAUUUGUGUCUCUUGGUCAUGCAAAUAAUAUUCCAAUUUAAACAAGCGAGGGAUUGGGAAAACAAUAUAGGAUUUAGAGGCUGAUGGGCAGAAACAAGUGGGAUCUGCUACUGCUCAGACUGGGGAGGAGAGUGCUGCACAUAUUCUGCAGUCAGGAGAGAGGCAUCCUUUAUGGACCAGACCGUCUGGAGAGACAGGG